Capsicum annuum is the source of this 307-nucleotide long non-coding RNA. RefSeq lists it as uncharacterized. The record is from RefSeq and is a predicted model, not a curated record. The transcript is spliced from 3 exons. Lineage: Eukaryota; Viridiplantae; Streptophyta; Magnoliopsida; Solanales; Solanaceae.
UUAUGUGGUAACUGUGUUAUUCAUUUACAUGAAUUAUCAUUUAUGAUUCUUGGGCUCACUUGUAUUCUACAUGCUCUCAGUCUACUGUUUUCUUUUUUAUAGCAAAUUAGAUUGAUGGUGAGCCCUAUUGGUAAUAUGAAUACCUUGUUCGGAAAUCACCAACCAAAGCUCACGAGCUGAAUCUUUUCCGCGACUAUGCUGCUUCAACGGCUGAAAGAGAUGGUGGCAUCUUUCCAACUUCUUCCUCCCACAGAAGCUGUGUCCCUCCUUAGAAGGAUCCGUGGAGGUUCUGCUGUUGUGGUGAUUG